GAUGAACGCUGGCGGCGUGCCUAACACAUGCAAGUCGAGCGAACAGACGAGGAGUUUGCUCCUCUGACGUUAGCGGCGGACGGGUGAGUAACACGUGGAUAACCUACCUAUAAGACUGGGAUAACUUCGGGAAACCGGAGCUAAUACCGGAUAAUAUAUUGAACCGCAUGGUUCAAUAGUGAAAGACGGUUUUGCUGACACUUAUAGAUGGAUCCGCGCCGCAUUAGCUAGUUGGUAAGGUAACGGCUUACCAAGGCAACGAUGCGUAGCCGACCUGAGAGGGUGAUCGGCCACACUGGAACUGAGACACGGUCCAGACUCCUACGGGAGGCAGCAGUAGGGAAUCUUCCGCAAUGGGCGAAAGCUUGACGGAGCAACGCCGCGUGAGUGAUGAAGGUCUUCGGAUCGUAAAGCUCUGUUAUUAGGGAGGAACAAAUGUGUAAUUAACUAUGCACGUCUUGACGGUACCUAAUCAAAAAGCCACGGCUAACUACGUG
RNAcentral lists this ribosomal RNA (497 nucleotides) under uncultured bacterium. RNAcentral describes it as "partial 16S ribosomal RNA". It matches the Rfam family "Bacterial small subunit ribosomal RNA", at positions 28 to 507 of the family's 1533-position model. The record is from RNAcentral.